RNAcentral lists this ribosomal RNA (468 nucleotides) under uncultured bacterium. RNAcentral's name for it is "partial 16S ribosomal RNA". It matches the Rfam family "Bacterial small subunit ribosomal RNA", at positions 28 to 507 of the family's 1533-position model. The record is from RNAcentral.
GACGAACGCUGGCGGCGUGCUUAACACAUGCAAGUCGAACGGAAAGGCUCUGCUUUUGUGGGGUGCUCGAGUGGCGAACGGGUGAGUAACACGUGAGUAACCUGCCCUUGACUUUGGGAUAACUUCAGGAAACUGGGGCUAAUACCGGAUAGGAGCUCCUGCUGCAUGGUGGGGGUUGGAAAGUUUCGGCGGUUGGGGAUGGACUCGCGGCUUAUCAGCUUGUUGGUGGGGUAGUGGCUUACCAAGGCUUUGACGGGUAGCCGGCCUGAGAGGGUGACCUGCCACAUUGGGACUGAGAUACGGCCCAGACUCCUACGGGAGGCAGCAGUGGGGAAUAUUGCACAAUGGGCGGAAGCCUGAUGCAGCAACGCCGCGUGCGGGAUGACGGCCUUCGGGUUGUAAACCGCUUUCGCCUGUGACGAAGCGUGAGUGACGGUAAUGGGUAAAGAAGCACCGGCUAACUACGUG